UACGUAGGGUCCAAGCGUUAUCCGGAAUCACUGGGCGUAAAGCGUGUGUAGGCGGGUAUUUAAGUGAGAUGCGAAAUCCGGUGGCUCAACCAUUUGGACUGUAUCUCAUACUGGAUACCUAGAGGAAGUGAGAGGCAAGUGGAAUUGCUCGUGUAGCAGUGAAAUGCGUAGAUAUGAGCAGGAACACCAAUGGCGAAGGCAGCUUGCUGGCACUUUUCUGACGCUGAGACACGAAAGCGUGGGGAGCGAACAGG
This 254-nucleotide ribosomal RNA is filed under the name uncultured bacterium. RNAcentral describes it as "partial 16S ribosomal RNA". It matches the Rfam family "Bacterial small subunit ribosomal RNA", at positions 524 to 776 of the family's 1533-position model. The record is from RNAcentral.